GAUGAAGAACGUAGCGAAAUGCGAUACUUGGUGUGAAUUGCAGAAUCCCGUGAACCAUCGAGUUUUUGAACGCAAGUUGCGCCCGAAGCCUUUUGGCCGAGGGCACGUCUGCCUGGGCGUCACGCAUCGCGUCGCCCCCCACAAUUCUCCGUAAAGGGAACGUGUGUUUUGGGGGCGGAUAUUGGUCUCCCGUGCUCAUGGCGUGGUUGGCCGAAAUAGGAGUCCUUUCGAUGGACGCACGAACUAGUGGUGGUCGUAAAAACCCUCGUCUUUUGUUUCGUGCUGUUGCUCGCAAGGUAAACUCUUUAAAAACCCCAAUGUGUCGUCUCUUGACGACGCUUCGGCCGCGACCCCAGGUCAGGCGGGACUACCCGCUGAGUUUAAGCAUAUCAAUAAGCGGAGGA
This 404-nucleotide unclassified non-coding RNA is filed under the name soil metagenome. Its description in RNAcentral is "partial contains 5.8S ribosomal RNA, internal transcribed spacer 2, and large subunit ribosomal RNA". The stretch from base 1 to 122 matches the Rfam family "5.8S ribosomal RNA", at positions 35 to 154 of the family's 154-position model. The record is from RNAcentral.